This 490-nucleotide ribosomal RNA is filed under the name uncultured bacterium. Its description in RNAcentral is "partial 16S ribosomal RNA". It matches the Rfam family "Bacterial small subunit ribosomal RNA", at positions 30 to 507 of the family's 1533-position model. The record is from RNAcentral.
AUUGAACGCUGGCGGCAGGCCUAACACAUGCAGGUCGAGCGGCAGCGGAAAGUAGCUUGCUACUUUGCCGGCGAGCGGCGGACGGGUGAGUAAUGUCUGGGAAACUGCCUGAUGGAGGGGGAUAACUACUGGAAACGGUAGCUAAUACCGCAUAACGUCGCAAGACCAAAGAGGGGGACCUUCGGGCCUCUUGCCAUCAGAUGUGCCCAGAUGGGAUUAGCUAGUAGGUGGGGUAACGGCUCACCUAGGCGACGAUCCCUAGCUGGUCUGAGAGGAUGACCAGCCACACUGGAACUGAGACACGGUCCAGACUCCUACGGGAGGCAGCAGUGGGGAAUAUUGCACAAUGGGCGCAAGCCUGAUGCAGCCAUGCCGCGUGUAUGAAGAAGGCCUUCGGGUUGUAAAGUACUUUCAGCGGGGAGGAAGGUGUUGAGGUUAAUAACCUCAGCAAUUGACGUUACCCGCAGAAGAAGCACCGGCUAACUCCGUG